CCUACGGGUGGCAGCAGUGGGGAAUAUUGGGCAAUGUGCGCAAGCCUGACCCAGCAACGCCGCGUGAAGGAAGAAGGCUUUCGGGUUGUAAACUUCUUUUAAGAGGGAAGAGCAGAAGACGGUGCCUCUUGAAUAAGCCACGGCUAACUACGUGUCAGCAGCCGCGGUAAUACGUAGGUGGCAAGCGUUGUCCGGAUUUACUGGGUGUAAAGGGCGUGUAGCCGGGCUGACAAGUCAGAUGUGAAAUCCCGUUGCUCAACCACGGAACUGCAUUUGAAACUGUCGGUCUUGAGUAUCGGAGAGGCAGGCGGAAUUCCUAGUGUAGCGGUGAAAUGCGUAGAUAUUAGGAGGAACACCAGUGGCGAAGGCGGCCUGCUGGACGACAACUGACGGUGAGGCGCGAAAGCGUGGGGAGCAAACAGGAUUAGAUACCCUAGUAGUC
RNAcentral lists this ribosomal RNA (442 nucleotides) under uncultured bacterium. Its description in RNAcentral is "partial 16S ribosomal RNA". It matches the Rfam family "Bacterial small subunit ribosomal RNA", at positions 338 to 795 of the family's 1533-position model. The record is from RNAcentral.